Molecule: transfer RNA, 76 nt
Filed under: Polynucleobacter asymbioticus QLW-P1DMWA-1
Lineage: Bacteria; Pseudomonadati; Pseudomonadota; Betaproteobacteria; Burkholderiales; Burkholderiaceae
Also listed under: 60 other names
Description: tRNA-Val (TAC) (tRNA-Val-TAC-1-1)
Rfam family: tRNA
About the family: Transfer RNA (tRNA) molecules are approximately 80 nucleotides in length. Their secondary structure includes four short double-helical elements and three loops (D, anti-codon, and T loops).
Source: RNAcentral
GGGCGCUUAGCUCAGUUGGUAGAGCGUCUGCCUUACACGCAGAAUGUCGGGAGUUCGAGCCUCUCAGCGCCCACCA